AAACUUUUAACAACGGAUCUCUUGGUUCUGGCAUCGAUGAAGAACGCAGCGAAAAUGCGAUAAGUAAUGUGAAUUGCAGAAUUCAGUGAAUCAUCGAAUCUUUGAACGCACAUUGCGCCCGCCAGCAUUCUGGCGGGCAUGCCUGUUCGAGCGUCAUU
RNAcentral lists this ribosomal RNA (158 nucleotides) under fungal endophyte sp. AP852. Its description in RNAcentral is "5.8S ribosomal RNA". It matches the Rfam family "5.8S ribosomal RNA". From Rfam's summary of the family: 5.8S ribosomal RNA (5.8S rRNA) is a component of the large subunit of the eukaryotic ribosome. It is transcribed by RNA polymerase I as part of the 45S precursor that also contains 18S and 28S rRNA. Lineage: Eukaryota; Fungi. The record is from RNAcentral.